RNAcentral lists this ribosomal RNA (253 nucleotides) under uncultured bacterium. RNAcentral describes it as "partial 16S ribosomal RNA". It matches the Rfam family "Bacterial small subunit ribosomal RNA", at positions 524 to 776 of the family's 1533-position model. The record is from RNAcentral.
UACGGAGGGUGCGAGCGUUAUCCGGAAUUACUGGGCGUAAAGGGCGCGUAGGCGGUUCGUUAAGUCCUGUGUGAAAUCCCCCGGCUCAACUGGGGAACUGCACAGGAAACUAGCGGGCUUGAGUUCGGGAGAGGGAAGCGGAAUUCCGGGUGUAGCGGUGAAAUGCGUAGAUAUCCGGAGGAACACCGGUGGCGAAGGCGGCUUCCUGGACCGACACUGACGCUGAGGCGCGAAAGCUAGGGGAGCAAACAGG